CAGCAUAUGGAGGUUCCCAGGCUAGGGGUCUAAUCGGAGCUGUUGCUGCCGGCCUAUGCCAGAGCCACAGCAACGCGGGAUCCAAGCCUCAGCAACACGGGAUCCGACCUACACGCAGCUCACGGCAACGCCAGAUCCUUAACCCACUGAGCAAGGCCAGGGAUAGAAACUGCAACCUCAUGGUUCCUAGUCAGAUUCGUUAACCACUGUGCCACGGCGGGAACUCCCAACCUUGCAUUUCUUUAGACUCUCUUUCUAGUAACCACUGUUGAUCAUCUUCCAAAACCUCAAUAAAGAAAGAGGAUCUAGCUUGAUGCUACAGAACCUGAUGUUUCAGAUAUCUGCUUACAAUUCUGCUUUAGUUGCCUAAACUAAGGUUUAUUAAUCAAUACAAUGCAAUUUUUUAAAAAUUUAAAGCAAAGGUUCAAAGUUUCUGUUUUGACCUACUGAAACGACUAUUUUUUAAGAGAGCAAUUAAUAAAAGGUGGAACUUUGGCUGAAUAUUUCAGUCUGGGCAUACUGAAAAGCAAAUGACAAGAAUUAGAACCAUUCUUAAAACAGUUUCUGAGGUCAAGGUUUCAGACUUACCUAGAAUUCUAAAAUUUUAAUUUCUGUUAUGCAUAAUUUAACAUUCUAUUAAUCAGGAUGUUUAAUCAUUCAGAAGUCUGGUUCCCAAUUUUUACCUCUAACAAGCAGUCUUAUCAUGUGAAAACAUAAGUAGUAGUUGAUGGGAUGUCAAAGUACGUCAGAACACAGUUUUGGAAUCAGAAAGAUGUGGUUUUGAAUCCAUAUAGUCUCAUUUUACAUGUUAGAUACAGGUUCUCUCAGGAGUGGGCUUACUAGCGGGAUGUAUUGCAUGAGUCUAGGAAGAAUUAAUGAGAUCUUAUUUGUAAAGUAGUGAGCACAGAGACCUGUGCUCAGAGAGCUCUCAGUGAGUGUAGCUGUUGCUGUCAUUACCAACUAAGGAUGUAGACUAACAUUGCCAAGUAGGUUCUCAUGGACGGGUUCAUGCAUUCACAAUUUAUGAAUUUUAUGCUCAAUCAUAAGGAACUGGAAUAGGAUGCAGUGGAAGACACAGUGAUGCAUGAGAUAAGGCCCUUGUCCUUAAGAUGCUUAUAAUAUAGACAGAUAAGUAAGAGGCAUACAUAAAGAGUUAGUAUAAUACAAGAAAGUUAAGAAGUGGCCUAUGCCAAGAGAGAAUAGGGGGAUUUACAGAAGCCAAAGACCCCCAGCUUCUGAACACUUGGGGAAGAUUUUAUUGCCAGGGACAAAUGUAGUAGACUCACAAGUGCAGGCUAAGUGAGCUUGGGCGGUGUUGGGCGGCGGGGGGGAGUGGAGGGAGUCUCUGCAGUUUGACUCCGGACUCUGCCAUUUGUUAGUAGUGUGUCCUUGUGCAAGUUACUUGAACUUUCAGUAAGUCAGUGCUUUCAUCCAAAAAUGGCAUUUCUAAUAAUAUCUAAUGGAUAAAUGAGGUAACUUAAAGCAUUUAAAAGACUAUUUGGCACAUAUGGAGUCGUCCCUAAAUGUCAGUGGGAGACUUUCGUGGACACAUACAGCCCACCAGCCAACUACCUGACCUUUACGUGCUGCCUGGCCUUUCUCUUUAGGGGGGUUCUUUUUAGGCAGCAUAAGGCAGAACGAUUCCACCCAUCUCACCUCCCCCACCCCAUCGACCUAAUGCUAGUAGUGUCGAUUAGAAUCAAGAUUACAUGGAUUUGGAAUUGUGACUGAAAGAGGGUUGCGUUCAUCUCCAAGUAAGAAGAGACCUGUUUCAUGUUUCCGUGUAAACUAGGGAGAAGUGUGCAAUACAUUCUGCCAAGUAGAUUAUGCUGCAGAAAAAUUAUAUAUAUAUACACACAUCAUGCAUAUACAUAUAUAUAAACACACACAUACAUGUACAUAUACAUUAUAACCUAUGACCUAGAGAAUGCUCUAAUUACCCUUAUUUGUUUUAGGGUAAUUAGAACAUUCUUUAGGUCAGAAACCUUAGCUUGACUUUCCCAUCCAGGAGUCACAUGUUCUAAAUUUGGGAACUUGAGAAACCCACUCAAAUAAUAGCAGCUUCCAACUAAAAGCCAAUACAAUGUGAUUCCGUCCCUUUGGAUAUCUUUUCUCUGGGAAGAACUGUGUUCCCUUGGUUCUCUUCCUCAGAUGGUCUCUGACUGGGAGAAGGCAGGAUUGAUCCCAAGGGGUAAAUUCAUUAUCACCCUCUGGGAGCUGGGCAACAUUUCAGGAUUUUUUUUUUCUCUUUCCUUGUUCUCUGUCCAGCUCUCUGUCUGACCCUCCAGCCCCUGCUCCGGGAGGACCACUUGCACAUGUUUAUAACCACCACGUUCUUUUGCAUGGGGAUAUGGGAUUCACAUUCUCUCUUCAGAAAGGCAUCGCCAGAGAAACAAUCUCAGUGUUAAUCACAUGUGAGCAUUUGGGACACAGGACAAGAUAUUCCAGUAAUAGUCACAGAAUCUCACCUUUCAAUAAACUCUUGCUGCGGGGAACAUAUGGGUAGAAGAAUCAGGAAAUUUGAGUGAAUCCUGGUUCCUCAUUCUUAGCCAUGUGGCCAUGGACACAAGACUCCACCUCUGGGAGACUCUGUGCUCUCCACAAAGUGCCAAAUGGGGACAAUUAUCACAUCUGCUUCCGAAGUUUACUGUGAGUGUAAGUGAGUCUGUGCAUGAAGAGAGUGCCUGGCACAUUGCAGUUAUCCACUAGGUAUGCAUUAGCCUUGGAGGCAUGUGUGAUAAUGAUUUAGGAGUAUUGGUUAUGAUCCUGAAAAAGUGAAAGUCAUGGUUCAACCAUUCAUUAUAUAGGUGAAUUAAAGAAUAACUUAGCUGAGUCUCCGCUUCCUCAUCUGUCAAAUGACAUAACAAUGUCCACUGAUCAGAAUAGUUAGAACUGUAAAGUGGGAUGGCUCUGAGCACAAGGCCUGAUACAUAUGCUAUAUCCAAUAAUAAUUUUUAUCAUUGUUAUAAUUUUUUUUUUUAGGGGCGCUCCCAGGACAUAUGGAGAUUCCCAAGCUAGGGGUCUAAUCAGAACUAUAGCUGCUGGCCUACACCAUAGCCACAGCAACGCCAGAUCCAAGCCAUGUCUGAGAGCUACACCACAGCUCACAGCAACUCCCAAUCCUUAACCCACUGAGUGAGGCCAGGGAUUGAACCCUCAACCUCAUGGUUCAUAGUGGGAUUUGUUUCUGCUGCGCCACAAUGGGAACUCUGCCAUUGUUCUAAUUGCUAAAAUUAUCGUUACUUCAUGUGCCAUAUUUUUCCAGUUUAUUAAUUUUGUGGCUUCCAGUGUUAUAUACCAAAAAAUUACCAGUGUCAGUGGAUUUUAUUUAAGUGAGAGCAUAAAGUUAAGAAUAUAAAUUCUGAACUCAAAGAGCGGAGUUAGAAUUUUUGUUCCCCUCUUUCUAGCUGUGUAGCUUUAUCUGGACACUUACCCUUCCAAGUAGUUAACUCCAGGAUAUUAGGGGGAUACAGUAUAAUAUGGACAGACAUAUGUAGCCCUGUGCCAGGCACAUAGUAAGCUCUCAAUAA
Molecule: long non-coding RNA, 3530 nt
Filed under: Sus scrofa (pig)
Lineage: Eukaryota; Metazoa; Chordata; Mammalia; Artiodactyla; Suidae
Description: lncRNA (ENSSSCG00000061241.1)
Source: RNAcentral